Molecule: transfer RNA, 72 nt
Filed under: Camelus bactrianus (Bactrian camel)
Lineage: Eukaryota; Metazoa; Chordata; Mammalia; Artiodactyla; Camelidae
Also listed under: 1 other name
Rfam family: tRNA
About the family: Transfer RNA (tRNA) molecules are approximately 80 nucleotides in length. Their secondary structure includes four short double-helical elements and three loops (D, anti-codon, and T loops).
Source: Rfam by way of RNAcentral
GAGGGUAUAGCUCAGUGAUAGAGCACGUGCUUACCAUGCGGGAGGUUCUAGGUUCAAGCCCCAGUACCUCCA